UACGUAGGGCGCAAGCGUUGUCCGGAAUUAUUGGGCGUAAAGAGCUCGUAGGCGGCUUGUCACGUCGAUUGUGAAAGCCCGAGGCUUAACCUCGGGUCUGCAGUCGAUACGGGCUAGCUAGAGUGUGGUAGGGGGAGAUCGGAAUUCCUGGUGUAGCGGUGAAAUGCGCAGAUAUCAGGAGGAACACCGGUGGCGAAGGCGGAUCUCUGGGCCAUUACUGACGCUGAGGAGCGAAAGCGUGGGGAGCGAACAGG
RNAcentral lists this ribosomal RNA (254 nucleotides) under uncultured bacterium. RNAcentral describes it as "partial 16S ribosomal RNA". It matches the Rfam family "Bacterial small subunit ribosomal RNA", at positions 524 to 776 of the family's 1533-position model. The record is from RNAcentral.